UCGAACUCAGGACCUUGCGCUUGCCAGGCAGGCGUGGUGCUACUGAGCUGUAUCCCUGGCCCCGCGUGUCACUUUGUAGUUAAGGCAGCAGAACCACUGAGCCAAAUCCCCGGCCCUACAAUGUUUGGAGCCAUUGCCUUCAUCUAGUUCCAAGACACUUCCAUCAGCCCAAAGAGAACCUCAUGCCCGCUGGUUCUGGAGUCCACUUUAUCCAUCUCAGCGGGACCUGGCUCAUCCACUCCACUUUCCAAAUUGUGGCUCAAUCUGAGCCAAAGAUAACGUCUGCCUCCCAUUCCUCGAGGCCGAGGCUACGCUGAGGUAGACACUGCAGCGCAGGUUUGCACCGGCCCUGGAUGCAGAAGGUCGGCAGCUUGAGGGCAGCCUGAUGAUGGGAGCCAAGGAGGCAGGGUCCUUUCCGGCCCCGCUCUUCGGUGAUGUCUCAUCAGACAUUGGGGCCUGAGGCCUGGCACGGGUGCCAGUAGCAUCCUCUGAGAACAGCAUCUGCUUGUCACCCAGGUGGUCUGGGAUGCUCUGGUCCCCAGCACCUGUGGUGGAGAAGAGGCAGCCUCGGCAGCUAAAGGAGCAGACAAGCAGACAGGUGGACUCAAUACUUGGAAGUCUGAAGAGCUCCGGAUAAACGAGCAGGGUCAGCCCAGCAUGGCUGGGAGCCCAUUGUCCCCCUUCUAGUCUCAGUCACAACCAUGCUAUUUACAGCCUUCCUUGACAUGUUCAUGCUCAGGAGUUCAUCCGUUUCUUGUAACUUGAUAGGUGUGGAGGUGACUCUUACCAACCCUGUGUGACAGGAGGCAACAAACAGGCUCAGGGACACAAGGGACUUGCCCCAAGUCACUCAGUGAAGCUCUGCCUUCUGACAUUUGACGUCCUGUUGCACAGUGAACAACUCAGGAAAGGCUCCUCUUUCUGUCCCUGUAAACCCAGCCAUGGCUUGGCUGUGGCCAAGGUGGAUGUCAUCCUCCAGCGGCUCCUGGGUGAUGGCCUCGCCCAUCACUCAGAACCUGCCACAGGCUAGGCACUCUGUCAACGACUUCCAAAGGGAGACAUGGUUAUCCGCAUUUCACAGAGGAGGGAAAGGAGACACCUACAAGUUAAGAAAUGUGCCCACCUACUGACUGCAGGGGCUCAUGCUCCAAGUCCCAGCUACUUGGGAGGCUGAGGCAAGAGGAUCGCUGGAGCACAGGAGUUCAAUGCUAGUCUGGACAACGUCGGAGAGCUUGUCUCUAAGAACAAAAUAAAAACAAAAACAAGAAACUUGCCCAAUGUCACACAGCUAGAACCAGCCCUGCAACCCACGUGUUUGUUUUUUAAAUGUAGAUAUGACCCCCUGCUAGAACAUAGUCACCACGUCAAAGUGAAAAAUUUGCCUGUUUCCCUCGCUUCCUGUUUCCGGUGGUACCCUGGACAGACACCUGAAGUGAUGAAGAUCACUGGUGUGUUAGUUGUGCUCCUCAUGGUUUUGAAGAUGUGAUUAUAACCUGUAGCGAACAGUGUCUGCGGGUGAGAGCUCAAUGGCAGGUUCUUGAGAAUCACCCCAGCUGUCUGAACUGUAGAGGCACAGAGCCGCUGGACAACUGCAACUAGGCCACACACCGAGAGGUCCCACAGGAGAUUUUAUUAGGGAAGGCAGGUUAGGGA
Long non-coding RNA from Fukomys damarensis (Damara mole-rat), 1653 nucleotides. RefSeq lists it as uncharacterized. The transcript has 5 exons. The record is from RefSeq and is a predicted model, not a curated record. NCBI's taxonomy places the organism in Eukaryota, Metazoa, Chordata, Mammalia, Rodentia, Bathyergidae.